GAUGAACGCUGGCGGCGUGCCUAAUACAUGCAAGUCGAGCGAACAGACGAGGAGCUUGCUCCUCUGACGUUAGCGGCGGACGGGUGAGUAACACGUGGAUAACCUACCUAUAAGACUGGGAUAACUUCGGGAAACCGGAGCUAAUACCGGAUAAUAUAUUGAACCGCAUGGUUCAAUAGUGAAAGUCGGUUUUGCUGUCACUAAUAGAUGGAUCCGCGCUGCAUUAGCUAGUUGGUAAGGUAACGGCUUACCAAGGCAACGAUGCGUAACCGACCUGAGAGGGUGAUCGGCCACACGAGAAGUGAGACAGGGACAAGACUCCUACGGGAGGCAGCAGUAGGGAAUCUUAGGCAAUGGGCGAAAGCCUGACGGAGCAACGGCGAGUGGGUGAUGAAGGUGUUCGGUUCGUAAAACUCUGUUAUUAGGGAAGAACAAAUGUGUAAGUAACUAUGCACGUAUUGACGGUACCUAAUCAGAAAGCCACGGCUAACUACGUG
RNAcentral lists this ribosomal RNA (497 nucleotides) under uncultured bacterium. RNAcentral's name for it is "partial 16S ribosomal RNA". It matches the Rfam family "Bacterial small subunit ribosomal RNA", at positions 28 to 507 of the family's 1533-position model. The record is from RNAcentral.